Molecule: ribosomal RNA, 242 nt
Filed under: uncultured bacterium
Lineage: Bacteria
Description: partial 16S ribosomal RNA
Rfam family: Bacterial small subunit ribosomal RNA
Source: RNAcentral
UAGCUUGCUAUAAUAUAACUUAGUGGCAGACGGGUGAGUAAUAUAUAGGAAUCUACCUAGUAGUACGGAAUAAUUGUUGGAAACGGCAACUAAUACCGUAUACGCCCUACGGGGAAGAUUUAUUGCUAUUAGAUGAGCCUAUAUUAGAUUAGCUAGUUGGUAGGGUAAGGGCCUACCAAGGCAAUGAUCUAUAGCUGAUCUGAGAGGAUGAUCAGCCACACUGGAACUGAGAUACGGUCCAG